Molecule: long non-coding RNA, 608 nt
Filed under: Mus spicilegus (steppe mouse)
Lineage: Eukaryota; Metazoa; Chordata; Mammalia; Rodentia; Muridae
Description: lncRNA (ENSMSIG00000003377.1)
Source: RNAcentral
UGCAGGAGUGGAAGUGAAGGCACAGAAGAGAAAAUAGAGUGCCCGCCUACCCUCCUUACUGUAGGAACUCGAAAUACAUUUUUUUGUUUUAAUGCACGCUCUUUGUUUUCAUGCUAGGAAUUGAGGAGUUGGGAUAGCUUCCGUCAUAACAAGAAGUACAAAGCUGAAAACUGAAAGUCAGCAGCUCUUCUGGAAUCUUGAGAUAACAUGUCAAGCCACUGCCCUCCAAAGCAAAGGUGGACAAGUAGAUACAGAGGUUUCCAGCUCCUGUGAACAGAAACCCCAAUGUCAGCCCUAGCCAGGAUCCAAAUGUGUAACUGAUGAAGGGCGAGAGGCUCGAUGGAUAAAGAACACAGAUGAGAUGCCUGGUAGUGUGACAACCACAGAACGGCUAAGCAACAAUGAAUUACUGAAAUUAAAGAAUCAGAGCUAGAAUUUAACACAUGGGAAUUGUGCUUGCAAGUGAAUGCAGGAAGGUUAAUGGUGAACACGAGAAAGCAGCCCAGACGGUCACUGUUUUGUCCUUCAUAGUGCUCAUUAGUGCCCGUCUACACAGAAAUUCUUCACUUGACCAGCUGGAGCUCUUCCUAGGAGUGCACAGUGAGUGA